GGAGGCGUCCAGGUGUCUGGUGACCCUCCUGGUCUUCAAAACCAGUGGGGCCCGUUCACGGGCCCGGCGGGUUCGAUUCCCGUCCGCCUCCGCCA
This 95-nucleotide transfer RNA is filed under the name Acidimicrobiales bacterium. RNAcentral describes it as "tRNA-Sec". It matches the Rfam family "Selenocysteine transfer RNA". RNAcentral also lists the same sequence under 2 other names. Lineage: Bacteria; Bacillati; Actinomycetota; Acidimicrobiia; Acidimicrobiales. The record is from RNAcentral.